This 492-nucleotide ribosomal RNA is filed under the name uncultured bacterium. Its description in RNAcentral is "partial 16S ribosomal RNA". It matches the Rfam family "Bacterial small subunit ribosomal RNA", at positions 30 to 507 of the family's 1533-position model. The record is from RNAcentral.
AGUGAACGCUGGCGGUAGGCCUAACACAUGCAAGUCGAACGGCAGCACAGUAAGAGCUUGCUCUUACGGGUGGCGAGUGGCGGACGGGUGAGGAAUACAUCGGAAUCUACUUUUUCGUGGGGGAUAACGUAGGGAAACUUACGCUCAUACCGCAUACGACCUACGGGUGAAAGCAGUGGAUCUUCGGACCUUGCGCGAUUGAAUGAGCCGAUGUCGGAUUAGCUAGUUGGCGGGGUAAAGGCCCACCAAGGCGGCGAUCGGUAGCCGGUCGGUGAGGAUGGUCGGCGGCACUGGAACGGAAACACGGACCAGGCUCCUGCGGGAGGCAGCAGUGGGGAAUAUUGGACAGUAGGGGGGAGCCUGGUCCAACCGGCCCACGUCGGAGGAGGAGGCCUUCGGGUUGUAAAGCCGUUUUUUUGGGAAAGAAAAGCAGCAGGUUGAUACGCCGCUGUUGUGACGGUACCCAAAGAAUAAGCACCGGCUAACUUCGUG